RNAcentral lists this unclassified non-coding RNA (8762 nucleotides) under Leishmania donovani. Its description in RNAcentral is "gene:unknown". The record is from RNAcentral. Lineage: Eukaryota; Euglenozoa; Kinetoplastea; Trypanosomatida; Trypanosomatidae.
AUCGAGUGCACUUUCAGCCUUUUUGUUCUACAGAGAGGCCAUGCGUGUGCGAUACGGGCACGGCGUAUGGGGCAGAGGUUGAAGAGGUACGCGUCGGAAGAGAGAGAAGGAGAGAAGGAACCUCGCUGUCCCUUCUCUGUGGUGUGUUCGUUGCCCGUCCGCCGUGAACGCUCUUUGCGAGUGAGGGUGUCGGAUCGACUUUGCUGGGUUCUUACAGUUAACAAGCGUGAUGGGUGACGUACUGCAUGGUACUCGUUCUGUUUUCGCUCCUCUGUGCGCACGCAUACACCAACACUCGCAUUAUUCACGCGUUGUCUCCGCGCCGCUGCCGCCCUCCCUACUCGGCACCCUCACAAGCAAAGGACUAGACAUGUAUGCUUCAGGCGGUGUGCACUGUCUCCGAGCUAGUGUGUCUGUGUGCCUUCACGAGCGCGUGCGUGUGGGUUUCCGUGCAUGCCUCGCUGUGUGCCGUUUUCUAUAUAUAUAUAUAUUACCGACAAACAUGGAAGGCAAAUUGUGGUCUUGCUUCACAUCACGAAUGGGCGUGAGCCUCUUCUGUGAGGGGUGACAAACAUCCCGUGAUGCCGCUCAUCUCCUCUUGCGGGCUUAUUUUUUGCAGUUUCUCAGUGUAGUUGUUGUAUCAGCCGAUAUUGCGUGUGUGCAAGUGCGCGCCACGCAUCGUCAUCGAGGCAUCUUUGCGUCGGCGCGUGGCUCUCAACACCUGAUCUUGAUGCCGAUGCGCCAAUACGACGGAGGAGAAAGCCGCCGGGCUGUGAGGAGGUGUAUCACGAAUUGAAGAUGUGCCAAAAAAGAAAACGGCGGCACACCUUCUCUGCCUGUGCAAAGUAGCGACAGUACCCGCGCACCCGUGUUCGAAAACACACUCGUGCGCAUGCAUCUGUUUGUGCGUAUCGGUGCAUCUUUUUCUUUAUCUAACCUGUUUGUUUUCCUCCGACUUAAGCGGCCUGCACCUCACAUUUCUAUGUGACGGUGUAGACGAACGUGCUGAAGUACCCCGCCUCCCGUCCUUUCGUUUUUUUUUUCAAUCUGACCCUCUACUGCGACUUCAGUUGCCAGGUGCAUGCUCGCUGCCUUAAUUUGAAAGCGCACGCACCCUUCUCAUUCUUCUGUGUCCUUCUCUUCACGACUUACACACAUAGUAUGCAUUUGUUUUCUUCGAACUUCACACGUUUUUUUUUUUCGUUUCUCUUCCGGACAUCGCACGACCAUGAACGAAAGCGAACACCGAAGCCACGACGGACUAGGGCGAUCUUCUUUGCUUCCGCCUUUUCUUUCGCUCUCCUUUUCCACCCCCGCCCGCUUUCUUCCGUCGAUGUGCCCUCCUCAUUUUGUGUCGACUGUGUGUGACUCGUUUUUUGUUUUGUUUCGAAUGUGCCUCGAGUCUCCCCCUCGCGAUUUGUUUUUUUCGGUUUUCCGCACGCGUCUCGUGUUCUCUCUUGUGCCAUAUUCCCUUCCGUUUUCUUUUUUCUUUGUUCUCCGGUCCCGCGCGCGCCACGUGGAAACCGCCGACGUCUUUGCCCAUGAAGAUGGGCAAGACGUAAACUCUCACACACGCGCACGCAUGCUCAUGCACACACCAAGCGCCUUUGUUUACAAGCGAAGGCAACCAUUGCCGCGCCGGCACAACUGCACAAAGGCAGGCAAGAACAGCGGUGUCUUCGCUUGGGGUUUUGUUUUCCCAGAAGAGCCAUGGUGUGCUUGCAUAUAUGUAUGUGUGUGUGUGUGUCUCUUGGAGGAGGUUGGAAGGAAACAGUGCUUCGCUGUGACGCCUGGCGUGCCCCCACCCCUUUUUUUUCCUUUUGUGUCUUCUGUUAUUUUUUUUCUUUCGCUUGGCUCUUUUUAUUCUCCACUGUCUUGGGUGCUUCCUUCCCUUCUGCCGCCUUUGAUGCAGCACGACCUGUAAGCGUACAAGAAGAGCAUUAGUGUCUGAUGCGAUAAACAAACUAGGAAAAAAUGCACGCACAUGCACGCUCCUCUCUCUUCAUGCCAUAGUUCGUCAUUCGCUGGUUGUGUUUUUGCUUUGCUCUUCGUUCGCGAUUGUAGCGCUGCCCUCGCCAUUCCCACCCACCGCGCACUUCUCAUCCUUCCGACUGUCUUGCCGGGGCGCUCCGUGGACGCGCGUACGUGGACAAGUCGCUGAGUCGCGGAAGUGACAUGUGACCCCCCCCUGCACCCGGCAUAUACGAAACACUCUUGAGUGAAAUGAUAGGCAUAUAGCCAAAAAGGGAAAAGAGAAGCGCGAAGGUUGAGGGUGUCGUUCGUCAGCUGCUGCUUGGCGCACAAGUGAAUUUAUUCUUGAUGCAACAUCCGACGAUCUGCCUAUGUUUUCCCUCUUCUUACUCUUCUGCACUCCCUGUACCUGGGUCUGUCGUGCACGGAAAAAUACGCUGCAGGGGGAAGGGAGCGCGCAGGAGAGAGGGAGAGCAGGCCGAUGCUGUGAAGUGGAUACGACGAUAAGACAGUUGCACGGUUACGCGAAAAGCAUCAAUGCACCCCCCUUUUCCUUGAGCAGCAGCAAGCUCUGCCGUGUGCCGAGGCUGUCCCUAUGCUGAUGCACCUCGUGUGCAUGUGUGAUUUUUUCCUCUUUUCCUUUGAUGUGUGUUUCUUCACCUUUCUUUCUGUGGGUCUAUUUAUGCACGUGUGUGCGGUUGUUUCCGUGUUCUCCUUACGAGCCCUCCUCACGCCCCUCUUCCUGUCGCUGACGGCGUUCGCCACUUCUUUAGCUGGAUCAUGUGUGGCGUAUAGGCACGAAAACACAAAUACACACACACACACACACGCAAACACUCACGAAGUCCCCCGCCGCGUCGAGGCCAAUCAGAGGGAGAGGAAGUUAUGCGUUUCCUUCUUGCACUAUCGCUCUCGAUCACUGACUACGGUGAAGCUUCUCUCUCUCUGUGUACUCACGACCCCCUCUCACUCAUCCUUCGCUGCUGAUGCGCGAGUGGUCUGACUUCUUUUUCUUUUCCUUUGGUCUACAUCGUUGCAAUAAGAGUCUUCUCUUGUGUAGGCGUUUUUUAUUUAGGGCGGUCUAACUGCUCAACGACAACAAAGGCCUCAGUGCCAAGGAUGGUGUCGCUAUGCUUUCUUUUUUAUCCGCGCCCCCACCUCCACUCCUUCAAUCUCCCCGUCUACACUUGUGCAAGCCGUCCGGCGCACAUGGCAAACGCGGAGAAAUAGUUUCAAGUUUGUUUUCACACACAUGUAAUGAUGCUAUGGAUUCACUUGUUUGCCGUAGUCCCCGCUUUCUUUUUGGCCUCUAUCUUUCACUCAUCGACUCUUAUUUCCGCCUGCGGCCGUGCUCUUUCUUUGUUUCUCUUUGGUGUCCUGCUUGCUUGGUUAGUCUCACUGUCUUCCUCUCACCCCCUCCCUCUUUCCUUUCUCGGUGUUGAUUUGCCUUUUUACACUUCGCCUGUCCAUGUCUCUGCUGGUUGUUGUUUGUUGGUCUCGUGUUUGCCUCUUGUCGCUCUGGACGCUUGUCUACUUUUCUUUAUAGUUAUUUUUUCAUUCGUUUUCACAAAUAACAAUGCUUCGCCUCCCCCCGCCCCCUACCCCUCAUCUCGAACGUGUUCUCCCUCUUUUUCGUGUGCGUGCGUGCGUGUUUUGCUCGUCUCUUCACCCCCCCACCAACACUCUUCGCGUGCCAGAGCCAAGAAAAAGUAAUUUUUUUUUCUUGCGUGUUUGCCCCUCAGCCUCCCUCCACUUCCCCCGUCCCUCUCUUACCGCAUCCUCGGCGCGGUAGCUCGACUUUGCCGCUCGUUCUCUUUUCAAAAGCAACAGAGAAAGAAUGAGCACGGGAAAGCGCACCACCCCAGAGACAGGCGCAAGUCAGAACGCAGAAUAAGCGAAACGCAUCAGUCAAGGAAAAAAUAAACCACAAAGAAAACAGCAACAACAACAAAGCAACGCAACCGCAUCUGUGCCACUUCUGCGGGAUGUUUCUCUUCCUCCCCCCCACUCUCUCUCUAUGUAUCUUGUUCUCGUCGUGCACUCAUGCCCGUUCACUGUUUGAAUGGGAUACCAAAUCAUGCACCAAGCACAUGUACGCAAGUCAACGAAAGUGAAGAAUACAAGUGGAACAGUGAACUGCAUUGGCUGAGUUGCAUCUGUAGCGCUAGUCUGUACUAGCGCGCCAGCUUGCACUUCUCUUUCCUCCUCCGCACACGCACACACACAAGGCGGACAGCACUGUGCCUACGCUCUCUCUUUUUCUCCCCCCUCUCAUUCUCACUUCAGGCUUUACGGCUGCUUUUCACCUCUGGUGAGGCGACCUCUUAAAAUGUCUGUGUUCACCUUGCUGUUUCUGUGUUCGUUUUCGACGCCGACGGUGUCUGCGUUCGAAUCUUGACGUGCAUGCUUCACUUCUGGUGAACACACACACACACACACACUUCUCUCCCUUUUGUCCUUUGAACUCUCGCGUUUUUACGUAUGUGUUCAUGUGUGCACGCUCGACUUCAUCGGGUGUUUUCAUGCACGCCUGCCUUUACGUGUACAUCGGUUCUCUCAUUUUACCCUCUCUCUGUUGUUGACCUACUCGCCGAUUUUUCCCCCUUCGUCUGAUUUUUCUGUGCUUGUACACGCGUGCGCGUGUGUGUGAUGCCAAUUGUAUCGCUGCGUUUUUUUUUUUUUCAUAUGCGUGUGUUGAGGAAACUGCUCGUCUCGUUCUCCCGACAACGUGCUGAAGGAGAGGUUUGUUCAUGAACGACAGGGCCUCACUUUGCGUUUUCGCCUUGAUUGCCUUCUUUUCGUUUUUAGCGUUCAACCAUUUUCCUGUUACGACUGCUAUUAUUAUCACUACUAUGAUUUUACUGCUAUAUUAUGUUUUUUUUUUUGUUUAGUGUGCCCCAUCCCCCCCCCUCUCCCACCACCACCUCUCCUCUCCUCUCGUUAUUUCGUGACGUUCACUGUCUUAGAGACACUAUCCUUUCUUUCACAGUUUCGCUUUCGUUUCUGCGCCUUUCUCUCUCGCUCUGUGUGCCUGCAGCACGUCACUUCCUUUUCUAAUCUCUUUUCGCGUGUCGCUUCGUUUUUAUCCAGGUUUGAUCGCCUCACGACUGUGUAUUCUUGGAUGCUUCUCAUUUUCAGGCCUUCUUAAAUUUUUUCUUCGCCUUUCUUCUCCACCCCUUCUCUGCUGCUUUAUGUGCGCAUGCGCGUGAGCGUUUCUCUCUUUUCUGUUGUAUCUUGCUCUCGUCGUUCUCUCUCUGUGUUGUAGUUUUUCUCUCUUUACUUGACUGCCCGCUUUUCGCUUGAGAUGUCUCUCUGAUGACACUACAUGCGGCCUCCCUCCACUCGCCGAACAAGGAUCUACCUUCUCCCUGUCUAUUCUUUUUUUUUCUUGUCCUUCCUCUAGCGUUGAUUCCGUUGCUUCGCUCGUUGGCUCUCGUUCAGUGAGUGCAUACUUCGGCCUCUUUAUCUCUCUCUUCGUCCGACUUUUUCCCACACAGUUUCUCGCUUGCGCACCAUUUUCGUUUUCCUUUUGCCUUGGCGUUUUUUUUUCCUGCUCACAUCCUCCUCUCGGCUCGUCUUCUGUGCUCAAAACGGAAGUUUGCGGGGCGCUGCGGCGACGCUGUUGUCUGGCCGAUCGACCACGGGACGUGCGCGGAUGGGCGAGUAAAGGUCUCCGUACCCACCUCACCAGCUUUCCAACCGUCUGACGCUUUCUUUUUUUUUUCUCGUUCGCUCUCUUCCCCGUCCCUCUCCUUCCACCUGACGGGCCUCCCGUCUCAUUGACGUCUCUCUUUGUGGUCCCCCUUCACGGUGUUUUCCUUUUCUUCCUUGUCCGCACACUGGAGCCUUUGCAUGACGCAGAUCUCGUUUUUUUGUUUUGCUUCAAAAGGGUGCCGUUCUCUGUUGUCUGCAGGACCGACAGGCAAGUAGCCCUGACGCUUAUCCCCACCCUGUCGGCGCACCCUGCAAGACGGCAAGCACCGCACGUACUAAGCAGCACUUACAGCAAAAGAAGAACGACAAAGAGGGCGCGACUACGGAGCCGGAGCACAGCGAGAAAGAGGCGAAAAAGAGGCAGAGACGCCGAUGCGGAGGGAGACGGAGAAGGCGAAAAAGAAGUACGCCAGCUGUCACACGCACCAACGUCCCUCUCCCCGUCUUCACAUGCUCGCACGCACACGCACAGGAAUACACACAGGGCAUCUCCUUUUGAUUUCAGAGAGCGAGAAAAACGGAGAGGCGUUACGGGUGCUGUUUGAACUGGUCUGUCUUGGGGUUUUCACUUCGGCAUGAGUCACUACUGCCGCUGCUGCUUUUUUUUAAUUCUCCCUUUCAGCGCAUUUUUCACCUUUCUCUAACACGACUUGUUCGACUCUUUUCGUGGGCUUUUCCGUUUUCUUUUUUUCUCCCUAUUCCUUGCCUCAUCCCCCAUCACUGCAUUUCUUCUCCUGCUUUCUCUCUGUCGCUUGCUGGUCUAUUCCCUGAUGUGUAGUGAGCCCGCACGUGUGUGCACGUGCCGGCGAGCGCUCUCCGAAUGAAGUACCGCUCUGUGCGUGUACCUCUCAUCGCUGAACGCUUUUCGUUCGUUUUCUGCUUUUUUUUGUAAAUUCACCUUUGCUUGUUACUUCGUCCACACCUCCAUCCCCACUACUCCACUAGAGGUCUCCCUAGGCUUGCUCCCGCACGAAGUACCCCCGCACCAGUCGGGUACCGAGAUUGGCGCAGCGCUUGUGGGCUCUGCUUUCGUGCGUUCGACUUGGCACCUCACGGCAGUGAAGAAGCGCAGCGUAGCGCCGUAACUUACUCGCUGGAUCAUGGAUUUCUGAGACGGCGGUCCUGUCUGCGUUCGCCUCCGCGAGAAGAGACCAGAGAUAUCCCGCUUUACACGCCGAGCCCACAGGAGUGUGCUCGAGGCCCUCUUCUCUCCACCGCUGUAGUCGACUCGCUGGGUAUGGGGCUCCGCAAGACCGGCGAACUGCACUACGCCUUCUGUGCUGAUGAGCUCACACUCCUCACGCCCUCCUCUGGCGAGAAUGUCAUACAGGUCACGCUGCGAUUCGCACUCUGGAGGGCGGAGCACAGGCCGCUGAAGCGCUUCAUGGUGCUCAGUGCCCAGCCCAAAGCAAAAUGCACACCCCUCUCUGCGCGGCCAAGCUCACUGUCCAUUUCCGGGAGGGACACGGCUCGUUGCACGCGCGUGCCCGGAGGAGGAUCGCUGCCCCUUCCGCCUUCCCGGCGUAGACCUCCAACCCAUGCGCGACACUGGCCGGCACGUUGCAGGAGCCAUCAAAGUAGCCAGGGCUCGGCUUGCCAGGCGUAGGGCGGUGUGCUCGCGCGAGCGGGGUCCGUCAGAGGGUCUGCUCUGCCCUUUCGGCGUGGCGCUGCUCGCGCCGCGGCUGCUUUGCGGUGCCGCCGCGCGGCGGGACGGUGCCAGCGCCAACGGCAGGAGGGCCGUUGACACCACCUUCGUGCCCAAAGCGGCCGUGGCCACCGUGGGUAGGCGAAUGGCGCGCAGACGGCCGAGACCCGUCUCAGCCCGGCGCCGGCCGCGCGGCGCACAUGCGAGGUAGGGGCGGCGUAGGGCAGGAAGGGCCCGUUGGCCGCACGUCCAUGCCGCCGCUGUGGGGCGGUUCACCCUGGGCGGCCAGGGUUUGGUUGUGGUGCCACAGCGGCAGGUGAGCCGCGGUCGUGCAUGCGAAUGUGCGCUGGGGGCAGCGGAUUUCGGCGUUGUACAAAGAAGCGUUCAUUUUUCGGUUUGUUUUUCCGAUACCGCCGUGGUAGGUAUAGUGGACGUUUUGUAGUGGAAUGCGAAUUCGAAGGGUGCGCAUGGGCAAGGCACAAGAAAAAAGAAAAACGUUAAGGCGACCGUGCGCGCCCCCUCCUCUUUUCAGGCUUUUUUUGUUUGCGUGCUCAGGAAUGCUCCAUUGGUGUUUUGUGAAAUCUACGCAUGCGGUAAAAAAAAAGUACCACUGCCACUCGCCUUUUUCGUCUGUUCGCUGCCGCCUCCAAAGCUUGUCUUCGGGUACCGAUGGGGGCUUCAUGUCUACAGGAGGGCGUCGAGCUUCCGACGCAGUGAAGAGCCUCGCGAUGUUCAUCCGCGGCUUGCUGGAAAGGGCACCCUUUCUUCUUCGCUUUACCGAGGAUGAAGGCGAGGCCUACUGGCAAUAAGAAAGGAUGGGACAGCGAUGAGCAGAAAAGAGAAAAGCGUGUUGGUCGCGACGGUGAACACUACCUGAGGAAGCUUGACGGAUGACGAUACGGCGCUUGUUCUCCCACGGCGACACGCACAGACUCACGGAAGUGAGAAAUGGGGUGUGUGUAGGGGAGGGGAGCCAUGAAACACAAAUCAACAAUACGGAACAGCUAAGGAAAACACUUCGCUCCCGUCUACUGCCGGCGUGCGCUUUUUUGUGUGCGCACCAGCGAAGAAAAAUAUAUAUGUACAAUCCGGAAAAGGGUGGCUAAUUCACCGAGACGCAACGAGAAGAAAAAGCUAAAAGUAUUGUGGCUAAGUGCCCUUUCUGGUUCGGCCUCCCUUCCCUCCUCUUCCUCGUUUUCACUGAAGCCAUAUGGCUACGUGUGUCCGCAGCAGAAGGAGGUGAGCUGGUCACUCGAUGUGACGAUCGAUCUGGAGUCGCGUGGUGACUUGUUCGUGUGUGGAUGCUUGUGCUAUUUUUUUUUUGAUACUCCUUUCGCAUCCCACUCCGCUGUUGAUAGUCUCUCUUAUCUUCGCGGCCUACCCUCUUACUGUGACUUCGUCUUGACUUUUUCCCUUUCCAUUCUCUUCGAAG